AGGACGAACGCUGGCGGCGUGCUUAACACAUGCAAGUCGAGCGGAAAGGCCCUUCGGGGUACUCGAGCGGCGAACGGGUGAGUAACACGUGAGCAACCUGCCCUUAGCUCUGGGAUAGCUCCGGGAAACCGGAAUUAAUACCGGAUAUGACCUAGGCCGACAUCGGCCGUGGUGGAAAGUUUUUCGGCUAGGGAUGGACUCGCGGCCUAUCAGCUAGUUGGUGGGGUAAUGGCCUACCAAGGCGACGACGGGUAGCCGGCCUGAGAGGGCGACCGGCCACACUGGGACUGAGACACGGCCCAGACUCCUACGGGAGGCAGCAGUGGGGAAUCUUGCGCAAUGGGCGAAAGCCUGACGCAGCGACGCCGCGUGGGGGAUGGAAGGCCUUCGGGUUGUAAACCCCUUUCAGCAGGGACGAAGCGAAAGUGACGGUACCUGCAGAAGAAGCGCCGGCUAACUACGCGCCAGCAGCCGC
This 475-nucleotide ribosomal RNA is filed under the name uncultured bacterium. Its description in RNAcentral is "SSU rRNA". It matches the Rfam family "Bacterial small subunit ribosomal RNA", at positions 26 to 518 of the family's 1533-position model. The record is from RNAcentral.